Molecule: long non-coding RNA, 8696 nt
Organism: Aedes albopictus (Asian tiger mosquito)
Lineage: Eukaryota; Metazoa; Arthropoda; Insecta; Diptera; Culicidae
Exons: 2
Source: RefSeq, a predicted model, not a curated record
CUAGUGUCAAAAUUCUCGGACCGCGAUGAAUUCGAUUCAUCGGUGGAUAAGUCCAUAGGAACAUUUUUGAAAUCCCAGUGCGAAAAAUGUCGAGCUCAGUCACACAAGGUUUAUCUCAAAUGUCAAAGUAGAACUAUUUACCAUAUUACUUAUUUCGAAUUUUCUCAUUAUUCCUUUGUUUUUCAAGUUCGAGUAAAGUACAAUUCCUAUUAGAAUACCAUGCUUGAUCGUAUUAUUCAAUAUAAGCGAGAUUUCGUCUUUAAUUUUAGGACCCUAUUCUAAGUUAGCCCUUUUGACAGCCAUGGUCGCGACUGUGGAGACGCUCGACACUACAGCGCUGUUGUGACGUAACGUCAAGAAGAUUCCGCAUCCUUUCCAGAGAUUUCGGAUACAGAAAACGAACGCUCGAAGCGCAUCGAUUGUGCCUCGCCGCUGCACACGCAAAAAAAUAUUCCCGUUAGAUGUACGUGAAUCUUCACUUGAACUGAAAAUUGCUUUCCUUAUUUCCAAAUUAUCUGAUUCCAAUAAAAGCCACUAAUUAUUUCGUUAUUACUACGUGAUAUUCCUAUUCGAGCCACAUGCCAUCAUGUCUAUGCUACGUGAUUUGUCACGUAGGUAUUGUUUCAUAUUGUCAUUACGUGACUUUCCAGUGUGAAAAAAACUACCAAAAAUCAACAUGGCGCUGAACUUCCUCCCAGACUUAAAUAUUCCUCGCGAUUUGCUGGUUAUUUUUAAACUUAAGUGUCUGAAAUUAAUCGUAAUGUACUUUCAAAAGAACAAAUUCAAUUAUUUUAAAGUGUUAUAUUGGAUUGCACGAACUGGUGACGCUUUCCCUGCAAGAUUUGAAGGAACACCCCUGGGAAUACCUAAAGCUGAUGCAAUCAGAUGUUGAUUACGAAAAUACGGACAUGAACAUCUUUUUUACGCGUAUCAGCUCAUAGAGGAAACAAAACGAAACACAGAAAGUACAACUGUUGUAAACAACAGCAUCCGGUUUGGAGGGACAUUUCUAAACUCUCAUUGAGGUCGUUCUGCAGGAAUUCCAACCUGAAAUGGAGAAGUGAACACGUAGCUGGAGGAAGAACUACGUGAAAAUAGUAUGGUUGUCGAAGAUAGCCAACCUCCAAGGGUCCAACGGAAGAAGGAAGGUUACACUCGCCGUCAGUCCCUCCGAACAAAUGUAUUGGUUUCAUCAAAAAAUGUUAUUAAUCAUGAAAAACAGUUUGAGUAUUUUAAUAAAAUAACAAAUAAAUUACGAAAACUCCGAUUUUGAAGCGAAUAAAUAAUACACAAGAAAGCAUUACAACUCACUGAAUAAUCAUCUAAGGAUCACAAGUAAUAUCAUGGAAAUGCAUUUAAAGUUUAUCAACAAAAUCCAAUGUAAUGUAUUAAAAUUUCACGUAAUUAUCAUCUGACAGCUGCAGGUAAUAAACUACAAAAUCACGUUAUUAUUAUCUGGCAACUGUAUAUAAUGAACCAGAAUCUGGCUGGCUUUGCUUUACUGGACUCCCCAGUUAGUUUUACGUGAAAAGUACUGUGGAAAAAAUCUAUGUAUGCUUUCACGUAAACCUAAGGUGAAUAUUUUUUUGGGUGCAAGACAACCAUCAUCGGAAUGCGUUUUGUCUGGCACACGGUGGACCUGUCAUCACCGCGGCAUUGUUUUUAUUAGCAUUUCGCGUGUUUUGGGCAAUGUUACAACGAGGAUGGAAUCAAAGCAGCCCUUGUUUUGGCGGUGGCACCCUUCACCCUUUCCACGCCGUCUAUUAUCGUUUUCGCUUUAUGUUUUUGUGUUGUUGGCGACAAAAGGGAAAGACAGUGCUGUUAUCAUUGUUUUACGUGAUGGGCGGAAAGCGGUGUGAAGUGCGUCAUUGAGAUGAAAAUAAAAGGACUUAACGAGCGGUUUUGGCCGCAAAAAUCAAAUAUAUUGACUACGAAAUGACGUUAAACUUAUCGUGUAACUGUCAAACAACAACAAUAACAACAGUAAAUGUACAUAAUAUCGCACUUUCCAAUACAGUAGACGUUCGCUCGGUGCAAACGCUUUAACUGCAAUGCUUUUUAACAGCAAGUCCGCUAAGUGCAACAAUUUUGCAGUUAUCGCACCACUAUCCGUCAAAAUGAAAUGUCAACAGCGAUGCGAUGUUUUUCGCAUGCACUUUUGUUGCAAUGCGAUGUUUUUCGUAUGCACAUUGGUUGCAUUCUGCAGCAACUGACAGUUACGUGACGUCUGUCAGUUGUUGCAGUUAUCGAAUUUCAUUCGGUAAGUGGAACGUAAACAUGUUGCACUUAUCGAACGUCUACUGUAUCGGAUUUGCGUGUUUUGACAGUUGACCGAUCGGAUUGAUGAUCGAUCCUUUGGAAGUGCAUCGAUUGAGCCUCGCCGCUGUGCGACAACGCGACAUCCAUCGGAAUGCGUUUUGUCUGGCACGGCACGUCGGACCUGUGUCAUCACCGCGGCAUUGUUUUUAUUAGCAUUUCGCGUGUUUUGGGCAACGAGGAUGGAAUCAAAGCAGCCCUUGUUUUGGAGGCAGUGGCGAAGAGGGCGGCGGCUGCGCCCUUCGCCCUUUCCAAGCCGUCUAUUAUCGUUUUUGCUUUUUUUUUGUUUUUUUGUUGUUGGCGACAAAGGGGAAAGGCAGUGCUGCUGUCAUUAUUUUACGUGCAAGGGGGAGAGCGACGUGAAGUGCGUCAUUGGAAUAAAAAUACAAAGAGCUUAACAAGCGCUUUUGAUCUUUUCAAUGAUGAAAAACUGAUCGAUUAACUGUCAAACAACAAAAACAAAAGCAGUUAAAGUAAAUGAAACCACUCGAUCUAAUAUCGGAUUUGCGUCUUUUGACAGUUGACCGAUCGGAUUGAUGAUCGAUCUGAUUGAACGACUGUCGAAUCGGAUGACAGUUCGCAUAGUGACAGUCAAAGAGACAGUUGAUCGAUAUUGUCGAUCAACUGUAAAACGGCACAGCGUAGACGUCAGAAGUUUUGAAUCCCGACAUCGUCAGCCGAAGGAAUUUUGACAUAAUCGAACCUCUGACGAAGGGAGGGGGGCGCAUUUCACCCCGCCCGUCCCAAUCGUGAUUCCGAUUAGAAGCGCGCUGCAGAGGAAUGAAGAAGGAAGAACCGGUCGCACGAGUUGCUGCCGCUGCUGCAACUCGCCAUCAUGCGAGCUUUGUUGUUUGCUGCGGCGUAUGAAUUUAUUUGUAUGUAUUAUUAAACGAAAACAAUGCUAUAUCGACACAUGACUUGCGCGGUGGUACAAGGGGAACCCGGGAACGAUUUCGCAAAUUUCUCCAGAACUGCGGGGCCGGCGAUCCGACGAAGUACCGCCGUAGGUUCGGAUUAAGCCGCGCCGACCGGCCGAUCGCGAGCAGCUCGACGCAAUUGGUAUUCCGCUCGCAAAAACGCAUUUUGCCGAAUCUGAUCGUCUUGUUUUGGCUUCGGCCUGCCAGCAGACUUAGACGAAAUUCCGAAGGCUUCCUGUCCCUACCGAUCGCGUCCCGGUUCUUCCGCGCAUCCUCUCGCAUCGCCAUAGGAAUGCAACUUUUAUCAGGACCGAAAGCGGCGGGUUCGAAAAUUGAUAUUCGGUAAUUUUAUGCCUCAGUUCGCCGCCCGUCCGUCGAUCGCGCAGGCAGACGACAGCGACGAUCAUCGAAGUCGGCGGCGACGGCGACGAUCGAGUGGUACGUGCUGCAAUUUCGGCCUGCUACGAACCCGGGGGAUCGUUCCCGGUACGGGGUGCGCGACGCGGGAUCAGGACCCCGAAAAAUAUAACGACACCGCAGCACCGCGCGCCACCUUGGCCUUGACCACGAUCACUGACAUUCGCAAUAAUAGGAUCGUGCGAAGCGGUGCUGGCCUGGCAGGCAAUCCGGUUCUCUACCACCACCCUGCCUAAGCAAGCAGCUGGUGAAGAGGCUCACCACUUGAAGUAGCUCGUUCGUAGCCAGCCAAGAGCCGAGCGUCAAUCACUGCCACCGGUUGUUGGACGACGUCCUCGCCUUGUGUAUUCGUCGUCUCGUCGUCCGCUCCCCGAACGAUUAGUCACGAUCACGAUCUAUACGCGCUUUCGCGCAUAGUCAAAAUUCCAAGGGAGGUCGAUCGGUCGGCCCGCUGCCAGGCCGAUCCUAGUCGAACGCCGCUCGCGCUAGAACGGCGAAAACGUCCGAUCCGACGCGAUCGCGCCCGACCGAUCGGACGAUCAUGCGAGGUGCGAUCGGCGUUGCCGCAGGCAACCGAAUCGCGCUUAAUCAUAGGAUUUUUAUGAAUGAAGCAUUAAUUCUCAUCACUUAGGACCCCCAUCCAUGCCGCGCCGCGCUGCGACGAUCGUUCGGCGCGUCUCCUCGGUUGCUGCGCCCCUUCGCGAUCGCUCGCGCGAUCGUGCCCUCUUGCUGCUUGUUGGGCCCCUGCUUCGCGCAAUUCGCUUUUGAUUAUUCAAUUUGGACCUCUGGCUCUGGCUGACUGGGUCUCGCUCUCUCUCUUUCUCUUUUAUGCUGCUUCUUCGGGGAGCGAUCGCGACGAUCGACGACUGGCGAAGCCGGCGACUGGUGGUGCGUAAGCUUGGCCUUUUUUCCUGCGCGAUCGCUUUUGUAUUACUUAAUUGUAAGCGAUUAUUACUAUUAUUAUCGAGUGCCCCCUCUGUGCCGUGUCCCGUCCCGCAUUUAAACCUUCGCGAUCGCCAUAGAGGUAAUGAGGGUCUGUGCGGAAUGUUAUUUGGUGGGACCCCAGAGGGUGAUCGCGCGAGAGCGAGAUCGACGGCGAUGGAAUGUGCGUUCCGAGCCGAGGUCUUUGCGAUCGCGGUAUUGGGUAAUAUUCAAAUUCGAUCGAGAGGGACACGGGGCAGCCGCGACAGGACGGGGACUGGAGGGUCUAAAAGUGGCACCACAUGAACAGGGGCUUUUUGUUUCUAUUAUGCGAUGAAACAACAGCGGAUGUGACUCGUUACAAUUGGAGAAUGGUAUUUCGAGCGAACGACGGGCGGCGUAGUACAAGAUCCUUCAGGCACGAUUCCGGCAUUUCGGGCAAGGUCGCUUGAUUUGCGUGAGAUCACCAGCGAUCGGAUGGCGAUCGAGUAAUUAUCGUCGGAUGUGGGCAUUGGUAGAUCAGAUCGAAGAUCCCAAUCAGUAGGCGGAGUUCGAAUCGAAGGCGGCUUAUUUUGAAAAGUCGUGGGCGGCUCUUCAGCCGCCUGUCAAACUGUGCAGUGUUGCCAAACUGCGCAAACGUCAACAUCGCACGAAAUUUUCGCUUUUCGACGAACUACAAAUCUCAGCCUACUGUGCCCGCAAAAAAAAGCUGCAAUAAGCGCUUCCAACCAGCUCCUACUAUCAGCUACGUUAUUUACUGCUCGUGGUGAUGAUUAGGCGUGGCAGGAAUAAUAUAUUUACAUUGAAACAGCUGAUUGGCGCCGCUGCUGCCGUAGCCGGCAGAGCCGCUAGUCGUCAUCCGUCGGUCGUUUUCUACAAUGUUUGCCGGCGGGAGUUAACCCUUUGACCUCCGCGCAACGCCAUUCAUCACUGCCUCGAUCGAUCAGCCGUUCUCGGUCUCUGAGAAUUAAUCAAUUUCGGAUGAAUCUUCCAGGAAUUUGACCACCACCGCGUCAUUCGCCGCGGUUGUGGCUUCGACUUCAAGGGCCUUCAAUUACGCCUUCCAAACGGCCAGACGACAGGGUCGAGCUGAUGCUCAAGGUCAUGACAUGCCUCGAUCACCAGGCGGCGAUCAUCCGAGAACGGCAAGCAGUCGCCGCGCAGUAGUCGCUGGGUGGUAAUUGCCAACGUCUGGAUGACGUCUGUGUGAGGGCCGCCUUUAAUUGAGCGAGAGGAGGAACAUUCCUUCGAACAAGCGCAGGAUCAGGACGAGUGACAGGACCGGGCACAGGAAGUCGCGGGAAAGCCGCGAAGAGAAACAUGCUGCUGACAUUCGUGGGAAUGCGAGGACCUUGUUUUGUGCGCCUCGGAGAGAUUAAGGAGCCGGUUUUGCGCCACCCGAAAUUUACCUGGCAGCGCGAAGUGCGCAAUGCAAAUUCGGGAUAAGCCGGAUGAUAGGGUUACCAAUCUAGAUUGAAGAGUUUUUGCGAAACUGUUGGCGUUGAUUCAGCGGCGACACAACGCUGCCGAUUUUGACAGAUGGCACGAACUCGCGUCACCAUGGUAACCCUAAUCGCCAAUGUACACACAAAAAUUCGGCUAAAAAAUGAACAACUCUUGCGGAGGAGAAUUCCGCAGUUUUGCCGCGGCAUACUGCGAUCAAAUUCGGUUUCUUCCGUCUCCUCCUCCGACCGAUAAGCGAACGGUUCGGGCGAUCCCUUUAAACACGGCUUUCGCUCUCAAGUAACCGGGAAAAUAAUAUAUGGAUGUUUCACUGCUUGCUUCUUCCGCUUCUUGUCGACGGCGAGCACAGAGCAACGUGUAAUCCGUGCAGUCCUUUUGGACCGCAUGACGACGAAAAGCAAACCAUGGUUUAAAGUUUCAUCCCAAUCAACAACAAACAACAACCUUCGGUCGAUCGGUUGGUCGGUCGGUUGCUUGGAUGCCCUCGGCCGAACACAUUUGAAUGUUUUUGUCCGCCCGGCCCGUUCCCGAAUCCUUUUAUCUUGACGCGCGACGCGACACGAACGAGCCGAACGAACGAACGAACCAAAGAAGGAAUGCCAAAGAUUCGCGAUAAACUUCGAAAUUUCGAUUCUUGGAAUUUUUUCGCCGGUCGUCGUCGCGCAUCGCAGCAGCCCGGGACUAAGACGACGAAAUUUGAGAGAUUUUUUCGGCAAUCGCGGUAGACGGGUUGCGUCGCUUCACCCUCAUACGAGGAGAUGCGCGGGGUCUUAUUGUCUUGUACAUCAUGAGCCGAAGCCGUGUGGGUCACGAAGUUGCAUAAUUAAGUGAGGUUAGACCCAAGGAUUUUCUUCUUCCUUUCAAUCGACCAAAAAAUUGAAAGAGAAAACAUUGGAAAAAAGCAUAUUGAUCCACCUAGCGCUGAUAGUGUCUUUCCUGUUACUUUUAUUUAUCAAAUUUUAACUUGUGAGACUUCGUUUACAGAGCUAAAUUUCAAAACAUGAUUUUUGAAGUGAAAUUAAACCCUUUCGGUACAGCUUUGCAGCACGAGAAAGCCGAAAACGAUUCGGUGAAAUUUGAAACCGUCGAUCACCGAAAGUUUGACGAAGCCCUUUCGCAUCCGACACGAAGCUGUUGUUGCAUCACUUCGUUGGGUUUCGUUUGCGUUCGGCGCGGCGCUUUCAUUCAUAAAAAAGUGAGAGUCACUCAAAAUUCUCGGGCAACUAGAUUGGGUUUUAAUGGCCGGUCGCUCGUCCGUCAAUCAGUUCAAGCCCAAGCCGCCUACUCUGUGUUUGCGUUGAUCUUUAGAGAGUGUUCCCUUUGUGGUGGAUCGAAGGAAUGCGUUUUGGGAUCGAUUCCUGGAAGGUUCCGUUCUUGAGUUUUUUUUUUAGAGAAGAACCCUUCGAAUGACUCGUCUGGUCAAUUUUCCAUAAAAACGAAGAUCUCACACCCAAAUGAUUCAAGUCCCCGCACUGAAAACUGUCCUGUAACGAUUUCUGAUGAAUUUUGCGCGCAAGGAGCGCCUUCCUUUAAUACGGGAAAGGUGCGUCCACAAAAGUGCAAUCUUAUCUGUCAGCUCUAAUCUUCAUUCGUGACUUUAACAUUUUCUCACUCUCGCGUCGGGCGCUUCCAGUUUGCUCUCUCUCUCUCUCCCGUUCAGUGAGUUGAUAAAUUACGGUAAUAAAAAUUACUUUUUUUGUGUUGGUAUUAUUUAUUUACCUCCGCGGCGACACGAUCUUUUGAAAAGCUCAUCCGAAGAGAGGUGCAUCAUUCUCACAAGACAGCGCACCGGUGCAGAUUAGAUCUGACAUUUUCCACCAACAAAAAUGUGAAAUUGAGAACUCUCAAACAAAACAUUCCAGGUCGUAAAACUUCCCAAACCCGACGAAAAAAAAAAUAACAAACGAGUGUUUAGUGAUUGAUUGUUGCUGAUUAGAUGCUGGCAACCGGCGCAAGAUGGCGUGGGAUCAUCAAAAACCUCAUUCCGAAUGAUCCGGAAAAAAUGAAGUCACACACAAAUAAAGCAAUAAAAAAACUCUGCUGGAGAAGCCGACGAUUCAUGUUCUCACCCUGCUGAUCACUCACCGUUCACGGGAACGAUCAAUCAAAGGUGGCUAUGACCCAACACCGUUAAAUCGAGCGCUCCUUCCAGGAAUUGACCGAUUUCCAGCGAGAGGAGAGAGGUGCGAGAACGAUCGCACAUCGGAAUCGCGGGGUUGCUUUGAUUUCCAUAGCCAUUUCGCCCUGUUCCACUACUAGCGAUGCAUUUGGAUCUGUCAAUCUGACACUUGCGCAAUCCGCGCUGAUCGGCGAUCGCGAAUUCUUCCCUGGUUGCAAGUCGCUGCCGCUGCAACAAGAUCCAUAAAUUAUUUCUAAUUGGCACAUUCCUUCCGAAUCAUGUUGACUGCUGCAGUGUCAGAACAAAAGGUCGAAAAAAAAACGCGAAAACAUCUGAUAAGUCAAAAACUUGUCCGCUUCGGCCCUUUCUUCUUUUCGCCCAGCCCACUACGAUCGAUGGCGACGCCACGGAACGACGGAUCGAUCGAUCCGGCUCUCUCACAGUUUCGGAAACAAGAAAUUGACCACCGAAAAUGGCCCAUUUAACUAACGCGAGCCGAGGACGCGGAUAAUUUAUUCGUCCCUCACGAGGGACGCGAGGAG